Molecule: ribosomal RNA, 998 nt
Filed under: Salmonella enterica subsp. enterica serovar Typhimurium
Lineage: Bacteria; Pseudomonadati; Pseudomonadota; Gammaproteobacteria; Enterobacterales; Enterobacteriaceae
Description: partial 23S ribosomal RNA
Rfam family: Bacterial large subunit ribosomal RNA
Source: RNAcentral
UAACGUCCGUCGUGAAGAGGGAAACAACCCAGACCGCCAGCUAAGGUCCCAAAGUCAUGGUUAAGUGGGAAACGAUGUGGGAAGGCCCAGACAGCCAGGAUGUUGGCUUAGAAGCAGCCAUCAUUUAAAGAAAGCGUAAUAGCUCACUGGUCGAGUCGGCCUGCGCGGAAGAUGUAACGGGGCUAAACCAUGCACCGAAGCUGCGGCAGCGAACGUAUCACCCAAGACAACUUUACGGAGUUGACGAUUGACGGAGCGAAGCGACGUCAAAGCGUUCAUUAAAGUCGAGUUGGCUUAGGGAUACGUUCGUUGGGUAGGGGAGCGUUCUGUAAGCCUGUGAAGGUGUGUCGUGAGGCAUGCUGGAGGUAUCAGAAGUGCGAAUGCUGACAUAAGUAACGAUAAAGCGGGUGAAAAGCCCGCUCGCCGGAAGACCAAGGGUUCCUGUCCAACGUUAAUCGGGGCAGGGUGAGUCGACCCCUAAGGCGAGGCCGAAAGGCGUAGUCGAUGGGAAACGGGUUAAUAUUCCCGUACUUGGUGUUACUGCGAAGGGGGGACGGAGAAGGCUAUGUUGGCCGGGCGACGGUUGUCCCGGUUUAAGCGUGUAGGUGUGUGUUCCAGGUAAAUCCGGUUCACUUUAACACUGAGGCGUGACGACGAGGCACUACGGUGCUGAAGCAACAAAUGCCCUGCUUCCAGGAAAAGCCUCUAAGCAUCAGGUAACACGAAAUCGUACCCCAAACCGACACAGGUGGUCAGGUAGAGAAUACCAAGGCGCUUGAGAGAACUCGGGUGAAGGAACUAGGCAAAAUGGUGCCGUAACUUCGGGAGAAGGCACGCUGACACGUAGGUGAAGUGAUUUACUCAUGGAGCUGAAGUCAGUCGAAGAUACCAGCUGGCUGCAACUGUUUAUUAAAAACACAGCACUGUGCAAACACGAAAGUGGACGUAUACGGUGUGACGCCUGCCCGGUGCCGGAAGGUUAAUUGAUGGGGUCAGCG